AAAUUGAAGAGUUUGAUCAUGGCUCAGAUUGAACGCUGGCGGCAGGCCUAACACAUGCAAGUCGAACGGUAACAGGAAGCAGCUUGCUGCUUUGUUGACGAGUGGCGGACGGGUGAGUAAUGUCUGGGAAACUGCCUGAUGGAGGGGGAUAACUACUGGAAACGGUGGCUAAUACCGCAUAACGUCGCAAGACCAAAGAGGGGGACCUUCGGGCCUCUUGCCAUCAGAUGUGCCCAGAUGGGAUUAGCUUGUUGGUGAGGUAACGGCUCACCAAGGCGACGAUCCCUAGCUGGUCUGAGAGGAUGACCAGCCACACUGGAACUGAGACACGGUCCAGACUCCUACGGGAGGCAGCAGUGGGGAAUAUUGCACAAUGGGCGCAAGCCUGAUGCAGCCAUGCUGCGUGUAUGAAGAAGGCCUUCGGGUUGUAAAGUACUUUCAGCGGGGAGGAAGGUGUUGUGGUUAAUAACCGCAGCAAUUGACGUUACCCGCAGAAGAAGCACCGGCUAACUCCGUGCCAGCAGCCGCGGUAAUACGGAGGGUGCAAGCGUUAAUCGGAAUUACUGGGCGUAAAGCGCACGCAGGCGGUCUGUCAAGUCGGAUGUGAAAUCCCCGGGCUCAACCUGGGAACUGCAUUCGAAACUGGCAGGCUUGAGUCUUGUAGAGGGGGGUAGAAUUCCAGGUGUAGCGGUGAAAUGCGUAGAGAUCUGGAGGAAUACCGGUGGCGAAGGCGGCCCCCUGGACAAAGACUGACGCUCAGGUGCGAAAGCGUGGGGAGCAAACAGGAUUAGAUACCCUGGUAGUCCACGCCGUAAACGAUGUCUACUUGGAGGUUGUGCCCUUGAGGCGUGGCUUCCGGAGCUAACGCGUUAAGUAGACCGCCUGGGGAGUACGGCCGCAAGGUUAAAACUCAAAUGAAUUGACGGGGGCCCGCACAAGCGGUGGAGCAUGUGGUUUAAUUCGAUGCAACGCGAAGAACCUUACCUGGUCUUGACAUCCACAGAACUUUCCAGAGAUGGAUUGGUGCCUUCGGGAACUGUGAGACAGGUGCUGCAUGGCUGUCGUCAGCUCGUGUUGUGAAAUGUUGGGUUAAGUCCCGCAACGAGCGCAACCCUUAUCCUUUGUUGCCAGCGAUUAGG
This 1139-nucleotide ribosomal RNA is filed under the name Salmonella enterica subsp. enterica serovar Montevideo. Its description in RNAcentral is "bacterial SSU rRNA". It matches the Rfam family "Bacterial small subunit ribosomal RNA", at positions 1 to 1129 of the family's 1533-position model. The record is from RNAcentral. Lineage: Bacteria; Pseudomonadati; Pseudomonadota; Gammaproteobacteria; Enterobacterales; Enterobacteriaceae.